This 2829-nucleotide long non-coding RNA is filed under the name Daucus carota (carrot). RNAcentral describes it as "long non-coding RNA (DCAR_LNC000248)". Lineage: Eukaryota; Viridiplantae; Streptophyta; Magnoliopsida; Apiales; Apiaceae. The record is from RNAcentral.
CCUGUCUCCGAACUGGCUCCCGGCCUAACUAUCAUCCUCGGCGGUCAUUUCUGUCGGCCCAUCUCGACUCCUUCCGUCUUCUGUCCGCAGCGCUGCUUCCGUGGUGAUCAAGAGGAGCGUGGUUACCUCAUUUCAGAGCUACUUUGUUGGUUGAGAGGCCUCUCGGUUGUACUCAAGCAUCUCUUCGGAGCUUCUAUCUCUCCGAGGCCUUCAAUCCAUUGCGGCUAAUUCCGGUACGUUCUCAGUUAGAUUAUCGGUCUAUAUUAUGAUGGCCCGCCGCACCUGUUUGAUAAAAUGUGUGGCUGAGGUAUUUUGGCACAGUGGACUGUUCAUGAAAUUAAGCUAAUUCUGCUCCCCUCAGGUUUGCCGCAGGACGCUUAGUAAUUAAAUUGGUUCACCGCCCUCUUUCAUUCAUUUAGUGCUGCUUAGCAAUGCCAUAGUUGCGCUUCUUUUGCCUUUGAUAUUUUUUUUGCCUGUUGCCGCAAGGUUCACAUUGAGCAUUUUUGCCUAUACUAUAUUUUUUUGGGGAGGUCCUAUUUGUGUGAUUGAUUUUUGGGGAUUUUCCCGGCUUCUCUCUUCUCAGCCAAUUAUUAGGUGGCAGUGAUGCAGAGGCGACAAAGAAAACUCAUUUUUAUGUCUCGUGUCGCAACAAAAUUAUCGUUUAUCAAGUUAGAAGUGUUUAGGGUGCAUUUGAGAGACUACCGGCUGUCUUAUAUAUUUAACUUUUUGCUCUUAAUGCUUACUGGUGUGUACAUUGAAAAUCUGAAAGUAGAUCUUUUUAGUUGUAAGCUGUUACAGAGGAGUCUGCAUUUGAGAGACUCCCGGCUGUCUUAUAUAUUUAACUUUUUACUCUUAAUGCUUAGUGAUGUGUACAUUGAAAAUCUGAAAGAGGAUCAUUUUACUUGUAAGCUGUUACAGAAGGGUAAAUAUCUGUUAUCUGCCAGUAUAAAAUGAUUUUUCCCUCUCUCUGAAAAUUCAGUUUAACUACUGCAUCGGACUCUAAUAUACUAGACAAUGACAUGAUGGUUGUUUCGUAAUUGAUAUGUUUUUAUUAUAAAUUGGAUGCAUGUGUAUGAAACAUACACUGCAAAUAUCAAUAAUUGUAAGUCUAUGUCAUUACCAAGGUGACAUAAGAGUCGGAGCAUUAUAUGCUUGGUUCCAGAGUUUGAGGCAGUGAAUUUUGUAAGCCCAAGGUUUUUCUCCUGUUUUUGAUAGUGAGUAUGGAAGAGCGGAUGUAACUGCACAGCGCUUUUUCCUCAUGAAUGAGUCUUCAGAAUUGUGUAAACUCUAGUGUAGCUCUUGUGUUGUUUUGAAGACUGGCGAAAAUCAGAGAAGAAUUUUUCUUGGGUGUCUCAUCGCACUGUGUUGUGUAUGCAGUAGCAUGUUUCAGUAUGGUUUCAGAAUACUCGUUUGGUUCGUUGGCACCUGGAAAAAAUCAUAUGUGAAACAAUAUUAUGUGCUUUCUGCCUCAGCUAUGACCUAGGUGUCCCUUUUUUUUUCUUGGUUAAAGUGCAGGCUGCAUUGGUUAAUGAUCUCAUCUUCAUCAGUUCCUCUUAGGGUCUGCAGGAGCAAGCUUAUAAUAUGCAUAAAGAUUAUAUGUCUGUUAUAAUCCUUCCGUACAGAUAAAGUAAAUGUGGUUAUUAGAUUACCCUGAUCUGAUCAUAUUGCAUAUUUUAAAAUUCUAGUAUCUCCAGGGAAAAUUUCCUGUGUGGCAUUUUAUUUUAUUUUGUAUCCCAUUAUAUGUAUUUGAGUUAAUUUACAGUUGAAAAUUAUUCUUUGUAUACGUGACUGAUCCAGGGAGGCAAAUGGUUGAACCGCGCCAGUUCUACAUCUAACUCAGAUUCCCCUGCUGCGAGAGAAGCUGUCUUGGUGAGCUCCUGGCUAUUGUUUACAUGCUUUUAUUACUCUGCUUAGAUAUAUGUUGUGCUAAUGCUUGCAUGAUAAUGAAUCAUUGAGGUAGGAGAUCUGGUCAAAGAUCAAGAGUGAAUGCGUAAGUCAAUUCCUUCUAUUUCAAAAUGUUAAUUUUGUUUGAUUCUUUUCACUACCCACCAAAUUUGCUUUAUAAUCUUAUAUAUUAUAUAACUACAAAAUGCAGAACUUAUAUUAUUAUGAAAUGUCUUGUGUUUAUAUUAUAAUAUAGUUUCAGUUUUCUAAAAUUAUAAAAUAAUAAUUUAUUUGGUUUUUGUUAAUAUUUGUCUAAAAACUGAAGUAAUAAUUAAGGUUUAGACUAUGCAAGGAGCUGUAUGUUUAAUAGUAGCAGUUCUGCUAUAUUAUGAUAAUUUAUUUUUCAUUUGUAGAAUUUGGAGCGUGGAAGGUUAUAUUCAUUGGAGGAGCAAAUUGAACAUAAGGUACAAUUUAUAUUUUCUUAUUAAGGAGAGAUAUUUAUUCCCCAUGACAGGAAACUUUUGUAUAUUCAGUUACAUGGAAACUUACAAGGGGCCAAUUUUUUAAUCACAACUAGACAUUCGAUGUUUGUGCUACUUUUUGGUGCUAAUAUGAUUCGCCUAAUAAUUUUAAAGGAAAAGACAUUUUUAUAGAUACAGAAUGACAAGGGAGUCUGGACUGAGAAUUUCAAAAACUAGAAAUUGGAUGUAGGCAAAUGAUGCCAUAUACUGACUUGCAAGCUCAUCCGCUCUUAUAGAGUCAGCCUUGCUUAUUGGCUCAUAGUUUGAUUUCAUUAUUUGCAGUUUACCUGUUCAAAUUGAUUUUAUUAUUUAGAUGUCUCCAACAGUUUAAAAGUUAACGUUUUUGCUUUUUGAUUGCCUUUAUCUUGCCAGUUGGAUUUCAUCAAGCAGGAACUUAACAACAUUGAAGUCCCUAUAGUACUGG